RNAcentral lists this ribosomal RNA (497 nucleotides) under uncultured bacterium. RNAcentral describes it as "partial 16S ribosomal RNA". It matches the Rfam family "Bacterial small subunit ribosomal RNA", at positions 28 to 507 of the family's 1533-position model. The record is from RNAcentral.
GAUGAACGCUGGCGGCGUGCCUAAUACAUGCAAGUCGAGCGAACAGACGAGGAGCUUGCUCCGCUGACGUUAGCGGCGGACGGGUGAGUAACACGUGGCUAACCUACCUAUCAGACUUGGAUAACUUCGGGAAACCGGAGCUAAUACCGGAUAAUAUAUUGAACCGCAUGGUUCAAUAGUGAAAGACGGGUUUGCUGUCACUUAUAGAUGGAUCCGCGCCGCAUUAGCUAGUUGGUAAGGUAACGGCUUACCAAGGCAACGAUGCGUAGCCGACCUGAGAGGGUGAUAGGCCACACUGGAACUGAGACACGGUCCAGACUCCUACGGGAGGCAGCAGUAGGGAAUCUUCCGCAAUGGGCGAAAGCCUGACGGAGCAACGCCGAGUGAGUGAUGAAGGUCCUCGGAUCGUAAAAACCUGUUAUUAGGGAAGAACAAAUGUGUAAGUAACUAUGCACGUCUUGACGGUACCUAAUCAGAAAGCCACGGCUAACUACGUG